Molecule: long non-coding RNA, 2183 nt
Filed under: Capsicum annuum
Lineage: Eukaryota; Viridiplantae; Streptophyta; Magnoliopsida; Solanales; Solanaceae
Description: long non-coding RNA (CANN_LNC009522)
Source: RNAcentral
CUGGUCUAAUAGUUCCUGAACCAUCCUAUCUAUAACAUUUUUUUGCAUGGGAAAAUACCUAUAAAGCCUGUGAUUCGGUGUUGUGGCCCCAUAUAAAGGUAUAUAAUGAUCAAACAUUACCCUAGAAGGAGGUAAUUUCAUAGGCUCUCCAAAUAAAUCAUAAUAGUCAUGCAAAAUAGCUUGAACCAUCUUGUCUUCUGUGCUUAAGCUUCUCGCUGAUUGCUUCACAGGGCUGGAAGUAUAGGCUUUAAUCAUAAAUAACUGGACCUGGUCAGCUGACCCCUUUGGGACAGAAUUAUAGUCAAUUAUCUUAAAAUUGGGAGUUGACCCUUUCAAUGAGAGCAGUUUGCCGUGAUGUUAAAACUCUAUUGUCAGCAACUUGAAAUUGAACUUGAUAUCACCUAAUUCAUAAAGCCACUGAACUCUUAAGACCAUGUCAUAAAAACCUAAGGGAAAUAGUAAAAAACCAGCCUUAAAGGUCGUGCCCUGCAAUAACCGCUCUAAACCUUUACAAACCUUGUUAAUUUGCACUGAGUUACCAUUUGCUAAGAUCACACAGAUAGGUUUACAUUGUUUCAUGGGCCACCCCAUUCGAGAAACCAAAUCACAAUCCAAAAUGUUAUAAGUGAAGCCACUGUCCACAGAAUGUUCAAUUGCCUCUUGUUACAAUACCCAGUCACUCGUAGCGUUCGAUGCCCCACUGUACCAUGAAGAGCAUUGAAGAAAAUUUCAAGGCUCCAGUAAAGCCUCUAAUAGAAUUGGAUCUUCUUCUGCUUGCUCUUCAGGAUCUACCUCCCCAAUCUCUAAUAAGAACAAUUGACCCCUGUGCUUACAAAUAUGACCUGGUUGGAAUGGUUCAUCACAUAGAUAACAAUGUCCUUUAUCCCUCUUAUCAAUAAGUUCCGCAAGGGUUAAUCUAUGUCUCCUAUUUCUAUUAUCAGAGAGUCAUGGAAAGUGAGUAUUGGGUUAGCUAAUAGCUCAGAAAGGCGGGUAAGUGAGUGUAGAAGAUGUGGUUUUGGAGUGUUGAGGAUAAGUAAAAGAACACUUCAAAGUUUUUGAUUGCUUAAGAUAAACCGACUCUUGCAUUCUUACUAGGUAGUAGGUAUAGGGUAGAGAGUAAGGUUUAUAGAUCCAAACUGCAUCACUGAGCUCAGGUUUGAUAGAAUUUAGAAAUAUGCUAAUAGCAUGAUUAGAAUCUAAGUUGAUAUAUAAAAAAUUUCCUGAAAUUCAGCCACACCACUUGUUUGUUUUAACUUCAACAAUUCCGACAUGGGAUCAUCAUACUCUAUACCAAACCGGUCUGAUAAAGCCCUCAAGUACUCAUCCCAAGAUGAAAAUGAAAGAGGGCCUCUACUCCGCAUAUAAGCUUGAUGCUAUUGGAGGGCUUUGUCAUCAAAAUGAAUAACUGCUAUGGUGACCCUUUGGUGUGGAGGUACUUUAUCUAGAGAGAAAAAUUGAUCAAUCCUAUACCACCAAUCCUGAAAUCCUUUCCCAUUAAACAUAGGAAAUUCUACUCUCGACAACCUGGUUAAGCCAUGAUUAAGGGUUAGGGGAGGUAGGGGAGACUUUGGGGGUAGUAAUAACUAUUCUGAAGUGGUUAUUGAGGGAUGGGGAUAGUUUGAUAAGGAGAUGUAAUGGAAUGCGUUGGGGAAGAAAAGUAAGGAUUGAAGAAGCUCAGAACUGGACCUGUACAAGGAGGAACGUGAUGGGUUGAGAAGGGUGGUGCAGGCAUCGAUGGACCAGUUUCUUGAAAAGAUGUAACAGUAUUGGAUUUUAAGUUUGGAAUAUGGGUUACUAUUGUAUUAGGAAUUUUGAAAAAAGUUGAAUUGGAAUUGAAGGGAGCAGGUGAAGAGAAUUGGGGAGUAGGACUCAAAAGGGAAUGGGGUAAAUGUGAAAGUAUAGUUGUAUGGGGCAACCCUGAUAAAUUCCCAGAGUCGACGGUCGGAGAAUAGAGCUCAAUAGGAUCCAAGGUCGACUAUGAUUUAGUCUGCCUUCCCUCGAGGGGAAUGUGUGAACUCAGAGCUUCCUUCAAUUCGUGAAAGGAAGUUUCAUGUACAACUUCUAACUGAUCUUGUCUUUGCUCCAUUCGAUCCAACCGAUCUAAGACUUUCUUAAUUUCACCAUCCAUGGUAACAAGCCACAGAGCCAGGACAGUGCUCUAAUACCACUGAUAGAUAAUAGGC